CCAGACUCCUACGAGAGGCAGCAGUGGGGAAUAUUGCACAAUGGGGGAAACCCUGAUGCAGCGACGCCGCGUGAGUGAAGAAGUAUCUCGGUACGUAAAGCUCUAUCAGCAGGGAAGAAAAUGACGGUACCUGACUAAGAAGCCCCGGCUAACUACGUGCCAGCAGCCGCGGUAAUACGUAAGGGGCAAGCGUUAUCCGGAUUUACUGGGUGUAAAGGGAGCGUAGACGGCAGCACAAGUCUGGAGUGAAAUCCCGGGGCUUAACCCCGGAACUGCUUUGGAAACUGUGCGGCUGGAGUGCAGGAGGGGUAAGCGGAAUUCCUAGUGUAGCGGUGAAAUGCGUAGAUAUUAGGAGGAACACCAGUGGCGAAGGCGGCCUGCUGGACGGUGACUGACGCUGAGGCUCGAAAGCGUGGGGAGCAAACAGGAUUAGAUACCCGUGUAA
RNAcentral lists this ribosomal RNA (445 nucleotides) under uncultured bacterium. RNAcentral's name for it is "bacterial SSU rRNA". It matches the Rfam family "Bacterial small subunit ribosomal RNA", at positions 331 to 793 of the family's 1533-position model. The record is from RNAcentral.